This 449-nucleotide ribosomal RNA is filed under the name uncultured organism. RNAcentral's name for it is "partial 16S ribosomal RNA". It matches the Rfam family "Bacterial small subunit ribosomal RNA", at positions 332 to 797 of the family's 1533-position model. The record is from RNAcentral.
UACACUCCUACGGGAGGCAGCAGUGGGGAAUAUUGGACAAUGGGCGCAAGCCUGAUCCAGCCAUGCCGCGUGAGUGAUGAAGGCCCUAGGGUUGUAAAGCUCUUUCACCGGUGAAGAUAAUGACGGUAACAGGAGAAGAAGCCCCGGCUAACUUCGUGCCAGCAGCCGCGGUAAUACGAAGGGGGCUAGCGUUGUUCGGAUUUACUGGGCGUAAAGCGCACGUAGGCGGACUAUUAAGUCAGGGGUGAAAUCCCGGGGCUCAACCCCGGAACUGCCUUUGAUACUGGUAGUCUUGAGUUCGAGAGAGGUGAGUGGAAUUCCGAGUGUAGAGGUGAAAUUCGUAGAUAUUCGGAGGAACACCAGUGGCGAAGGCGGCUCACUGGCUCGAUACUGACGCUGAGGUGCGAUAGCGUGGGGAGCAAACAGGAUUAGAUACCCCUGUAGUCCCA